CGCUAGGCCUGACCGUCGUGGAUAUCCUGCCGGCGGGAGGGCGCUUUAUCCGACGGCCGGCCGAUAGCAACAAAGGGCAGGAGCAGGG
Molecule: unclassified non-coding RNA, 88 nt
Filed under: Flavobacterium fontis
Lineage: Bacteria; Pseudomonadati; Bacteroidota; Flavobacteriia; Flavobacteriales; Flavobacteriaceae
Description: Flavo-1 RNA
Source: RNAcentral